RNAcentral lists this ribosomal RNA (918 nucleotides) under uncultured Bacillota bacterium. RNAcentral describes it as "bacterial SSU rRNA". It matches the Rfam family "Bacterial small subunit ribosomal RNA", at positions 58 to 952 of the family's 1533-position model. The record is from RNAcentral. Lineage: Bacteria; Bacillati; Bacillota.
CAAGUCGAACGCGAAAGUCCCCUUCGGGGGGCAAGUAGAGUGGCGCACGGGUGAGUAACACGUAGGUAAUCUACCUUCGGGUGGGGAAUAACAAUCGGAAACGGUUGCUAAUACCGCAUAAUGCAGCGGCACCUAAUGGUGACAGUUGUUAAAGCGGGGGAUCGAAAGAUCUCGCGCCUGAAGAGGAGCCUGCGGCGGAUUAGCUAGUUGGUAGGGUAAUGGCCUACCAAGGCGACGAUCCGUAGCCGGCCUGAGAGGGCGGUCGGCCACACUGACACUGACAUACGGGUCAGACUCCUACGGGAGGCAGCAGUCGGGAAUUUUGGGCAAUGGGCGAAAGCCUGACCCAGCAACGCCGCGUGAAGGAUGAAAUCCCUCGGGAUGUAAACUUCGCAAGAACGGGAAGAAUUAGUGGAAGUUAAUACCUUCCAUGAUGACGGUACCGUUUGUAAGCUCCGGCUAACUCCGUGCCAGCAGCCGCGGUAAUACGGGGGGAGCAAGCGUUGUUCGGAUUUACUGGGCGUAAAGGGCGCGUAGGCGGCCUCCGCAAGUCAGUUGUGAAAUCUCCGAGCUUAACUCGGAAAGGUCAACUGAUACUGCGGGGCUAGAGUGCGGAAGGGGCAACUGGAAUUCUUGGUGUAGCGGUGAAAUGCGUAGAUAUCAAGAGGAACACCUGCGGCGAAGGCGGGUUGCUGGGCCGACACUGACGCUGAGGCGCGAAAGCUAGGGGAGCGAACGGGAUUAGAUACCCCGGUAGUCCUAGCCUUAAACGAUGAAUGCUUGGUGUCUGGGGUUAUAUAGUCCCCGGGUGCCGUCGCUAACGCUUUAAGCAUUCCGCCUGAGGAGUACGGUCGCAAGACUGAAACUCAAAGGAAUUGACGGGGACCCGCACAAGCGGUGGAGCAUGUGGUUUAAUUC